This 396-nucleotide ribosomal RNA is filed under the name uncultured bacterium. Its description in RNAcentral is "partial 16S ribosomal RNA". It matches the Rfam family "Bacterial small subunit ribosomal RNA", at positions 338 to 732 of the family's 1533-position model. The record is from RNAcentral.
CCUACGGGUGGCAGCAGUGAGGAAUAUUGGUCAAUGGCCGAGAGGCUGAACCAGCCAAGUCGCGUGAGGGAAGACGGCCCUACGGGUUGUAAACCUCUUUUGUCGGGGAGCAAAGCGAGUCACGUGUGACUCAUUGAGAGUACCCUAAGAAAAAGCAUCGGCUAACUCCGUGCCAGCAGCCGCGGUAAUACGGAGGAUGCGAGCGUUAUCCGGAUUUAUUGGGUUUAAGGGGUGCGCGGGGGGAGGGGAAAGUCAGCGGUAAAAUUGCGGGGCUCAACCCCGUACUGCCGUUGAAACUGCAUGCCUAGAGUGCAGUAGAGGUAUGCGGAAUGCGUGGUGUAGCGGUGAAAUGCAUAGAGAUCACGCAGAACACCGAUUGCGAAGGCAGCAUACCGG